UCCAGCAGUGGUCAGCUCUACAGACCAAAUCAUGCCUGUGAUGGUGUUACCCUGCUGGGAGAGGAAUGUCCUAUCUUUUUCCUCCUGUUGCCCCCUUCACUGCUCUGUGACAUGUGGCACUGCUGCAAGGCUGAACUGUGCUUCCUUGAGAGCGAACUAAACAUUACUUUGGCUGUUUAGUUGUAGUGUGGGAGCAUACACA
Molecule: small nucleolar RNA, 202 nt
Organism: Eptesicus fuscus (big brown bat)
Lineage: Eukaryota; Metazoa; Chordata; Mammalia; Chiroptera; Vespertilionidae
Product: small nucleolar RNA SNORA74
Exons: 1
Source: RefSeq, a predicted model, not a curated record